UGGAUUAGUGGCGAACGGGUGAGUAACACGUGAGUAACCUGCCCUUAACUCUGGGAUAAGCCUGGGAAACUGGGUCUAAUACCGGAUAGGAGCGUCCACCGCAUGGUGGGUGUUGGAAAGAUUUAUCGGUUUUGGAUGGACUCGCGGCCUAUCAGCUUGUUGGUGAGGUAAUGGCUCACCAAGGCGACGACGGGUAGCCGGCCUGAGAGGGUGACCGGCCACACUGGGACUGAGACACGGCCCAGACUCCUACGGGAGGCAGCAGUGGGGAAUAUUGCACAAUGGGCGCAAGCCUGAUGCAGCGACGCCGCGUGAGGGAUGACGGCCUUCGGGUUGUAAACCUCUUUCAGUAGGGAAGAAGCGAAAGUGACGGUACCUGCAGAAGAAGCACCGGCUAACUACGUGCCAGCAGCCGCGGUAAUACGUAGGGUGCGAGCGUUAUCCGGAAUUAUUGGGCGUAAAGAGCUCGUAGGCGGUUUGUCGCGUCUGUCGUGAAAGUCCGGGGCUUAACCCCGGAUCUGCGGUGGGUACGGGCAGACUAGAGUGCAGUAGGGGAGACUGGAAUUCCUGGUGUAGCGGUGGAAUGCGCAGAUAUCAGGAGGAACACCGAUGGCGAAGGCAGGUCUCUGGGCUGUAACUGACGCUGAGGAGCG
The sequence is a ribosomal RNA, 653 nucleotides long. It matches the Rfam family "Bacterial small subunit ribosomal RNA", at positions 88 to 755 of the family's 1533-position model.